RNAcentral lists this ribosomal RNA (789 nucleotides) under Thermotogales bacterium T17b-19. Its description in RNAcentral is "bacterial SSU rRNA". It matches the Rfam family "Bacterial small subunit ribosomal RNA", at positions 60 to 846 of the family's 1533-position model. Lineage: Bacteria; Thermotogati; Thermotogota; Thermotogae; Thermotogales. The record is from RNAcentral.
AGUCGAACGAGGAGGCAGCCUUCGGGCUGUAGUACUAGUGGCGNCCGNGUGAGUAACGCGUAGGAAGGUGUCCUCCAGACCGGGACAACCACUGGAAACGGUGGCUAAUACCGGAUGAGCCCGAGAGGGGAAAGCGAGCCAAGGCUUGGCUGGAGGAGCUGCCUGCGACCCAUCAGGUAGUUGGUAGGGUAAAGGCCUACCAAGCCGACGACGGGUAGCCGGCGUGAGAGCGUGGCCGGCCACAGGGGCACUGAGACACGGGUCCCACUCCUACGGGAGGCAGCAGUGGGGAAUAUUGGACAAUGGGGGGAACCCUGAUCCAGCGACGCCGCGUGGAGGAAGAAGUCCUUCGGGACGUAAACUCCUGAACUUACCGAACAAUAAGGAUGGUAGGGAAUGGCCAUCUGAUGAGGGUAGGUAAGGAAAAGCCCCGGCUAACUACGUGCCAGCAGCCGCGGUAAUACGUAGGGGGCGAGCGUUGCCCGGAAUCACUGGGCGUAAAGGGGGUGUAGGCGGUCUAAUAAGUCAGAUGUAAAAGGCCCUGGCUCAACCAGGGAAAUGCGUCUGAAACUGUUAGACUUGAGGUUGCUAGAGGGAGACGGAAUUACCCGUGUAGCGGUGAAAUGCGUAGAUACAGGUAAGAAGGCCGGUGGUGAAGACGGUCUCCUGGGGCAAANCUUGACGCUGAGGCCCGAAAGCUAGGGGAAGCAAANCCGGAUUAAAUACCCGGGNUAGUCUUAGCCGUAAACGAUGCCCACUUAGGUGUGAGCGGGAAGUACCCUUNCGUGG